RNAcentral lists this long non-coding RNA (344 nucleotides) under Setaria italica (foxtail millet). Its description in RNAcentral is "long non-coding RNA (SITA_LNC005631)". Lineage: Eukaryota; Viridiplantae; Streptophyta; Magnoliopsida; Poales; Poaceae. The record is from RNAcentral.
CCCUGUCGGGGUCGAUGUGCCCCCCUCCAAAAUCGAAAGGGUCAGCCAAUUUCCUUGGGACCCCUUCCGCUUGGAUUGGCAUGCCGAAACGAUCAGCCACCGACGCUGCAUGCCAUUGACCAACAGUACGUGAAAUGAAGAAACACGAUCAGUUUUAUGGAUUCAUGAUAAUAAAUUGAAGUAUUUACUACGCAGCAGCACGUGCCUGUGGUGAUGAUGGCGGACUUGAUCAUGGCAGGCGACCAGUGAGGGUGAAUCGACUUGAGCAGCGCGACGACAGCCGCGACGUGCGGGCACGCCAUGGACGUCCCUGACAAGAGCUUGUAUGAACCGCCCACAGCUGC